Molecule: ribosomal RNA, 683 nt
Filed under: Reticulitermes lucifugus lucifugus
Lineage: Eukaryota; Metazoa; Arthropoda; Insecta; Blattodea; Rhinotermitidae
Description: partial 16S ribosomal RNA
Rfam family: Archaeal large subunit ribosomal RNA (bases 343-505)
Source: RNAcentral
UUAGGGGUUUCUGGUUUUUCAGGAAAUGAAUUUAAUUCAUGCGUCUUAUUUAGAGUUUUAUCAUUUUUUGUUUAUUUUUAUUUGGCGUUAAGAUUGGGAGGGAUUAGCUUCUUAUUUUAUUUUUAUAAUUUUUUGUUUAUUUAGUCUUGUGGGUUUUAUAGUGAUUUUCAAUUUGAUUAUGUUAAAAUUUUAUUUGUUUUUUUCUUUAUUUUUAAUUAUUUAAUUAUUUAUUGAAAUGUAUUCUUUAUCUUUAAUUUUGUUUAGUAAUUAUUGUAGAAUUAGUAAAUUUGUCUUUAGGAUGUUUUAUUUGUGUUAAUUUUCUUUGAGGAACUAGGCAAAUUUCAUGUCCGCCUGUUUAACAAAAACAUCUUUUCUCGUUAGUUUUUGAAGUAUGGCCUGCCCGCUGACUUUGAUGUUGAAGGGCCGCGGUAUUUUGACCGUGCAAAGGUAGCAUAGUCAUUAGUUCUUUAAUUGUGAUCUGGUAUGAAUGGCUUGACGAGGCAUGGGCUGUCUUAAUUUUGAAUUGUUUAUUGAAUUUGGUUUUUGAGUUAAAAUUCUUAGAUGUUUUUAUGGGACGAGAAGACCCUAUAGAGUUUAACAUUUAUUACGGUUCUUUUCUGUUUGUGAGGGUUCGCUGGGCCGUUUAGUAUGUUUCGUUGGGGUGAUGGGAGGGAUUUAUUUAA